CUACCUGCAGCAACCUGCCCAAGGUGUCACCACGGAGAGGCAUUCUUCAGGCAAAUGCAGAUUCGUUCAGCUGACGAACCCAUGACAACAUUCUACCGAUGCUGCAACGAGAGAUGCAAUUACGAAUGGCGAGACGACUGAUCUCAUAUCUGAUGCGCAUGGGAGUGGAACUGUUUUCGCUUUCUCAAUCAAGCAUCGGCGUACUCUUGUCCUAUUUCUAUUGCUUUCUGCAUGCAGACCGGAAAGGAGAGCGAAGAUUUAAGUGCGAAGUUUUCUAUGCACACAACACGUUGCUGCUCGUUAUGUCAAGAUUGCAGCAGCAGACAGUCGAUGAGAAGGAGAAAACAACAUAUGAAGAGGAGGGAGGACGGCAAGUCCGACAAGUUCACGUGUCCAUCCGGAGCAAUUGUGCGUUAGAAUUAAAGCAUGAAGAGGAAGGAGGACAGGAGUCCUCCACACGAGUACGUCCUUUUUUCCUAGAGAGUAAUGAAGUGAUUGAUGCAGCUGCAAUCUAAAGUGAUCCAGCAGCUCUAAACUACCCCCAUAUAUUACUGAUAAUCUAAUUAAUAACUCCCUUUCCCUUGGAUGAGGAAUCUA
This is a long non-coding RNA of Musa acuminata AAA Group (dessert banana), 597 nucleotides long. RefSeq lists it as uncharacterized. The transcript has 2 exons. Lineage: Eukaryota; Viridiplantae; Streptophyta; Magnoliopsida; Zingiberales; Musaceae. The record is from RefSeq and is a predicted model, not a curated record.